Telopea speciosissima is the source of this 153-nucleotide long non-coding RNA. RefSeq lists it as uncharacterized. NCBI's taxonomy places the organism in Eukaryota, Viridiplantae, Streptophyta, Magnoliopsida, Proteales, Proteaceae. The transcript is spliced from 3 exons. The record is from RefSeq and is a predicted model, not a curated record.
UUGUACUCAGAAGUCAAUUCUCAUUACUCACAAACUCAAAUAUGCUCCAAUUGCGCUCACAACCAGAGGAUGAGCAAUAAAGUCCAAGUAAGCGCCUUGCAAGCUUUGUAAGCUCAGGUGUAGAGCUUCCAUGUUUUUCCCACCAAACGACUA